This is a long non-coding RNA of Melopsittacus undulatus (budgerigar), 912 nucleotides long. RefSeq lists it as uncharacterized. NCBI's taxonomy places the organism in Eukaryota, Metazoa, Chordata, Aves, Psittaciformes, Psittaculidae. The transcript has 2 exons. The record is from RefSeq and is a predicted model, not a curated record.
GCCCUGAACCAGACACGGGAUGGGACGAGCGGUCCGCAACCGAUUCAAGUUUAGAGGAGGAGGAAACAGAGAUAAACAAAAUCAGGAGCCAAAGGAUUCCCACCCAAACUACAGAGGGACCACGAGGGGAAGAAAUCCCUCUCACAGAUUGGAAGAAAAUACAAACUACGUGCGCCGACCGGAGCUCAGCAGCCACAUUAGCAUUCCCGGUCCGGGUGGCACCUGGGGGACAGAGGACUGGAUUAUCGGACGUCCCUGUAACCCGUAUACCCCGGUGACAAGAGAGGACGAUAAGCCAACAAGCAUCCAGCCCGCACCUGAAAGUUCUGCACCGAUUAGAUCCUAACGACAGCCAACGCAGUGCCUUUGUAUACCGAAUAAGCUCAUGUCGUUUGUAAAGAGCCGGUUAGAGAGAGUUAACAUCAUGUUAGUAGAACGUCGGCAACUGCUUUAAAAACGCAGCCAACAACUGCUUUAAGAAUGUUCUUGUUCAAAACUUCCUUUACUUAUCCCCAGUUAUACCCCGUUAUUCCCAGUUAUCCUCCUGUUACCUCUUGCUUACUGUGCCUUAUGUUUUCUAUCCAAGUUUCUGAUAUAUAUCCUAAGUCUGUUGUAGAGCAGAGAAUAGGAGUAGAAUGCAUUUAGUAUAUAUUUAUGAUAUAUAUAUAUUAUUUAAGAUUGUUACAUUUUAGCCAAUUUAAUUAAGCAUAGGGAGGGGGGAAAUGUAGGCAGAUAGGGCCUGGUGGCCGGAAGAUAUCAUGCUGUACGGAAAGAUAAGACCCCUCUCCAGGUAGCCAAUAGCGUUUAGGUGAUGAUACCAGUUUUACGAUGCAAGCAGACAGAAAUGACAUCGUAAACCUAGGCUAUAUAAUGCCGUGUUCUCUCUCAAUAAACGCCAUUUGCCAUCCACCA